This 252-nucleotide ribosomal RNA is filed under the name uncultured bacterium. Its description in RNAcentral is "partial 16S ribosomal RNA". It matches the Rfam family "Bacterial small subunit ribosomal RNA", at positions 524 to 775 of the family's 1533-position model. The record is from RNAcentral.
UACGUAGGGGGCUAGCGUUGUCCGGAUUUACUGGGCGUAAAGCGCGCGCAGGCGGUCGUUCAAGUCGAGUGUGAAAGCCCCCGGCUCAACUGGGGAGGGUCACUCGAUACUGAUCGACUUGAAGGCAGAAGAGGGAAGCGGAAUUCCCGGUGUAGUGGUGAAAUGCGUAGAUAUCGGGAGGAACACCAGUGGCGAAGGCGGCUUUCUGGUCUGUUCUUGACGCUGAGGCGCGAAAGCUAGGGUAGCAAACGG